Molecule: long non-coding RNA, 536 nt
Organism: Mangifera indica (mango)
Lineage: Eukaryota; Viridiplantae; Streptophyta; Magnoliopsida; Sapindales; Anacardiaceae
Exons: 2
Source: RefSeq, a predicted model, not a curated record
AGGGUUUAAUUCGAAGAGAACUUGUUCGGACUCAAAACAUUUAAAGACCUAGAGUUAACUAAAUCAAAACCUAAGGGACGCAGCAUUCGUUCACACUCCUCACACUCGCAUGAAACCUUGCCGCCGCACAAGCCUUGUCGUCUAUCGUUCCUCAACAGUCAACACUUCCUCCGUUUAGCCGCCAUGACUGCGAUGUCGUCUGUUACUUUUCUGUUCAGCAUUCGUCGACUACCAAUGUCUGCAUCUUGUAUUGUAUUUGUGUAUAACUGCCACUACCAAGACCCAGAUUAGAAUAUAGAGAGACAAUGAUUAGCUUCUUUUGAUUUAUGAACAUGAUUAUAAGAGCAAUUUUUCUAAAAGCAACUGGAAGGCAAGAACUUUGCUUAGUUUUCAACAUGACUUUUAUUAUUUUGUUUGAUUUGUUUAUUUCCUGUUGUAGCCUAUUAAUUACUGUAUUUUUGUGGGAGAUUGCAUUGCUAGAGAGAUUUUUGUUGCCUAUUAAUUUACUAUUUUAAUGACUAUGUUUGUUAUCUAUA